AGCGAACGCUGGCGGCAGGCCUAACACAUGCAAGUCGAACGAACUCUUCGGAGUUAGUGGCGGACGGGUGAGUAACACGUGGGAACGUGCCUUUAGGUUCGGAAUAACUCAGGGAAACUUGUGCUAAUACCGAAUGUGCCCUUCUGGGGAAAGAUUUAUCGCCUUUAGAGCGGCCCGCGUCCGAUGAGCUAGUUGGUGAGGUAAAGGCUAACCAAGGCGAGGAUCAGUAGCUGGUCUGAGAGGCUGAGCAGCGACAUUGGGACUGAGACACGGCCCAAACUCCUACGGGAAGCAGCAGUGGGGAAUCUUGCGAAAUGGGCGAAAGCCUGACGCAGCCAUGCCGCGUGAAUGAUGAAGGUCUUAGGAUUGUAAAAUUCUUUCACCGGGGACGAUAAUGACGGUACCCGGAGAAGAAGCCCCGGCUAACUUCGUG
RNAcentral lists this ribosomal RNA (433 nucleotides) under uncultured bacterium. Its description in RNAcentral is "partial 16S ribosomal RNA". It matches the Rfam family "Bacterial small subunit ribosomal RNA", at positions 29 to 507 of the family's 1533-position model. The record is from RNAcentral.